GACGAACGCUGGCGGCGUGCUUAAUACAUGCAAGUCGAACGGACAGGCCCUGCUCUUGUGGCGUGCUCGAGUGCCGAACGGGUGAGUAACACGUGUGUAAACUGCCCUUGACUUUGGGAUAACUUCAGGAAACUCGGGCUCUUACCCGGUAUGAUCUCCUGCUCCAUGGGGGGGGUUGGAAAAUUUCGGCGGUUGGGGAUCGUCUCGAUGCUUAUCCGCUUGUUUGGCUGGUAGUGGCUUUCCAAGGCUUUGACGGGUAGCCGGCCUAAGAGGGGGAACGGCCACAUUGGGCCUGAGGGAGGGAGCAGACGCGUACGGGAGGCAGCAGUGGGGAGUAUUACACAGUAGGCGGAAGCCUGAGGCAGCGACGCCGCGUGCGGAAUGACGUCCUUCGGGUUGUAAACCACUUUCGCCGGAGACGAAGAGGGAGUGACGGUAAUGGGUAAAGAAGCCCCGGCUAACUACGUG
This 468-nucleotide ribosomal RNA is filed under the name uncultured bacterium. Its description in RNAcentral is "partial 16S ribosomal RNA". It matches the Rfam family "Bacterial small subunit ribosomal RNA", at positions 28 to 507 of the family's 1533-position model. The record is from RNAcentral.